Molecule: signal recognition particle RNA, 99 nt
Filed under: Candidatus Eiseniibacteriota bacterium
Lineage: Bacteria; Candidatus Eiseniibacteriota
Description: Candidatus Eisenbacteria bacterium signal recognition particle sRNA small type
Rfam family: Bacterial small signal recognition particle RNA
About the family: The signal recognition particle (SRP) is a universally conserved ribonucleoprotein involved in the co-translational targeting of proteins to membranes. Archaeal SRP consists of a 7S RNA and homologues of the eukaryotic SRP19 and SRP54 proteins.
Source: RNAcentral
GGCCAGGCCCAGCGCAACCCGACCUUGUGAACCCCGUCAGGACCGGAAGGUAGCAGCGGUAAGCAAAUCCUCGGGAGUGCCGCUGAUCCCCUGGCCCUU